This 73-nucleotide transfer RNA is filed under the name Roseovarius nubinhibens ISM. RNAcentral's name for it is "tRNA-Ser". Lineage: Bacteria; Pseudomonadati; Pseudomonadota; Alphaproteobacteria; Rhodobacterales; Roseobacteraceae. The record is from RNAcentral.
AUGGCGAUGGUGAAACUGUUCCACGCCGCAAGCUUGAACCUUCCCAAUUGGUGAUCGAAUUGCUGUCGUUGAG